CCUACGGGGGGCAGCAGUGGGGAAUAUUGGACAAUGGGCGAAAGCCUGAUCCAGCCAUGCCGCGUGUGUGAAGAAGGCCUUCGGGUUGUAAAGCACUUUCAGUGGGGAAGAAAGCCUUGGGGCUAAUACCCUCGAGGAAGGACAUCACCCACAGAAGAAGCACCGGCUAACUCCGUGCACAGCAGCCGCGGUAAUACGGAGGGUGCGAGCGUUAAUCGGAAUUACUGGGCGUAAAGCGCGCGUAGGCGGUCUGAUAAGCCGGUUGUGAAAGCCCCGGGCUCAACCUGGGAACGGCAUCCGGAACUGUCAGGCUAGAGUGCAGGAGAGGAAGGUAGAAUUCCCGGUGUAGCGGUGAAAUGCGUAGAGAUCGGGAGGAAUACCAGUGGCGAAGGCGGCCUUCUGGACUGACACUGACGCUGAGGUGCGAAAGCGUGGGUAGCAAACAGGAUUAGAUACCCCGGUAGUC
RNAcentral lists this ribosomal RNA (466 nucleotides) under Vreelandella stevensii. RNAcentral's name for it is "partial 16S ribosomal RNA". It matches the Rfam family "Bacterial small subunit ribosomal RNA", at positions 338 to 795 of the family's 1533-position model. Lineage: Bacteria; Pseudomonadati; Pseudomonadota; Gammaproteobacteria; Oceanospirillales; Halomonadaceae. The record is from RNAcentral.